AUGUUUGUCGCUCAACUAGCUAGAAAGCAAGAAGUCAAUCCAGCUUUCUUCUAUGAUUUUGUUGUUGACAAAGAGGGGAACUUAAUGUAUGUUUUCUGGGCAGAUGCCAUGAGUAGGAAAAACUACAGUCACUUUGGGGGUGAUUGUGUGGUAUCCUUCGAUUCUACUUACACCACUAAUCAAUACGACAUGAUCUUUGCACCAUUUACAGGGGUCAAUCAUCACUUACAGAGUGUGUUUUUUGGUGCGGCAUUCUUGUGCAAUGAGCAGACUGAGUCAUAUGUUUGGUUAUUUGAGACCUUCCUAACAGCAAUGGCAGGGGUAGCACCUAGACUCAUUAUAACUGAUGAAGCUGUUAGCAUGAAGAAUGCGAUUGAAACAGUUUUUCCGACCACAGUGCAUAGCUUAUGUAUGUGGCACAUAAUGGAAAAACUUCCGGAGAAGAUUGGACCAAUAAUUAGAGAAGAGUCUGAAUUUUGGGACAAGAUGAAUUCGUGUGUAUGGGGUUCGGAAACUCCAGCAGAGUUUGAAUCACAAUGGAAUUCCGUCAUUACGGAGUAUGGCUUGGAGGAAAAUGAGUGGCUGGUUAAAAGGUUUAGCAUUCGCGAGUCAUGGAUACCAGCUUACUUUAUGGACAUACCAUUGGCGGGUAUUCUCCGAACCACUUCAAGGUCUGAAAGUGCAAAUUCAUUUUUUAACCGUUUUAUUCAUCGUAAGCUUGCUUUGGUUGAGUUCUGGCUUAGGUUUGACACGGCAUUAGAAUGCCAACGAGAAGAAGAGUUGAUUGCAAUAUUCCUACUGAAAUUGACAUACACCCACCAACUGAUAUUCGCACGGUGGGGAGAUGCAAACGAAUAA
RNAcentral lists this ribosomal RNA (858 nucleotides) under Triticum aestivum (bread wheat). RNAcentral describes it as "partial small subunit ribosomal RNA". The record is from RNAcentral. Lineage: Eukaryota; Viridiplantae; Streptophyta; Magnoliopsida; Poales; Poaceae.